CAGUAGCCACGGUAAUACAGAGGGUGCGAGCGUUAAUCGGAUUUACUGGGCGUAAAGCGUGCGUAGGCGGCUUCUUAAGUCGGAUGUGAAAUCCCUGAGCUUAACUUAGGAAUUGCAUUCGAUACUGGGAAGCUAGAGUAUGGGAGAGGAUGGUAGAAUUCCAGGUGUAGCGGUGAAAUGCGUAUAGAUCUGGAGGAAUACCGAUGGCGAAGGCAGCCAUCUGGCCUAAUACUGACGCUGAGGUACGAAAGCAUGGGGAGCAAACAGGAUUAGAUACCCCAGUAGUCCCUGUCUCUUAUAU
RNAcentral lists this ribosomal RNA (301 nucleotides) under uncultured bacterium. RNAcentral describes it as "partial 16S ribosomal RNA". It matches the Rfam family "Bacterial small subunit ribosomal RNA", at positions 509 to 809 of the family's 1533-position model. The record is from RNAcentral.